This 253-nucleotide ribosomal RNA is filed under the name uncultured bacterium. RNAcentral's name for it is "partial 16S ribosomal RNA". It matches the Rfam family "Bacterial small subunit ribosomal RNA", at positions 524 to 776 of the family's 1533-position model. The record is from RNAcentral.
UACGUAGGGUGCGAGCGUUAAUCGGAAUUACUGGGCGUAAAGCGUGCGCAGGCGGUUUUGUAAGUCAGAUGUGAAAUCCCCGGGCUUAACCUGGGAACUGCGUUUGAAACUACAAGGCUAGAGUGUGGCAGAGGGGGGUGGAAUUCCACGUGUAGCAGUGAAAUGCGUAGAGAUGUGGAGGAACACCGACGGCGAAGGCAGCCCCCUGGGUUAACACUGACGCUCAGGCACGAAAGCGUGGGGAGCAAACAGG